GUGGGUACAGCUCAGUGGCAGAGCACAUGCUUAGCAUGCAUGAGGUCCUGGGUUCAAUGCCUAGUACCCUCC
This 72-nucleotide transfer RNA is filed under the name Camelus bactrianus (Bactrian camel). It matches the Rfam family "tRNA". Rfam says of the family: Transfer RNA (tRNA) molecules are approximately 80 nucleotides in length. RNAcentral also lists the same sequence under 2 other names. Lineage: Eukaryota; Metazoa; Chordata; Mammalia; Artiodactyla; Camelidae. The record is from Rfam by way of RNAcentral.